GACGAACGCUGGCGGCGUGCUUAACACAUGCAAGUCGAACGAAAAUACCAAGCUUGCUUGGUUGAUUAGUGGCGAACGGGUGAGUAACACGUGAGUAACCUGCCCCUUACUUUCCUGGAUAACUGCUCGAAAGGGUAGCUAAUACGGGAUAUUCUGACCAGCCUGCAUGGGUUGGUUUGGAAAGGUUGUUUUUCUGGUAAGGGAUGGGCUCGCGGCCUAUCAGCUUGUUGGUGGGGUGAUGGCCUACCAAGGCUUUGACGGGUAGCCGGCCUGAGAGGGUGGACGGUCACACUGGGACUGAGAUACGGCCCAGACUCCUACGGGAGGCAGCAGUGGGGAAUAUUGCACAAUGAGCGCAAGCCUGAUGCAGCGACGCCGCGUGAGGGAGGAAGGCCUUCGGGUUGUAAACCUCUUUCGUCAGGGAACAAGGCACUGCUUUUGUGGUGGUGUUGAGGGUACCUGGAUAAGAAGCGCCGGCUAACUACGUG
RNAcentral lists this ribosomal RNA (488 nucleotides) under uncultured bacterium. RNAcentral describes it as "partial 16S ribosomal RNA". It matches the Rfam family "Bacterial small subunit ribosomal RNA", at positions 28 to 507 of the family's 1533-position model. The record is from RNAcentral.